RNAcentral lists this ribosomal RNA (253 nucleotides) under uncultured bacterium. RNAcentral describes it as "partial 16S ribosomal RNA". It matches the Rfam family "Bacterial small subunit ribosomal RNA", at positions 524 to 776 of the family's 1533-position model. The record is from RNAcentral.
GACGAACUGUGCAAACGUUAUUCGGAAUCACUGGGCUUGAAGAGUGCGUAGGCGGUUUCGUAAGUCGGGUGUGAAAGCCCCCGGCUCAACCGGGGAAUUGCGCCCUAAACUGCGAGGCUGGAGUGAGGUAGGGGUGUGUGGAACUUCCAGUGGAGCGGUGAAAUGUGUUGAUAUUGGAAGGAACGCCGGUGGCGAAAGCGACACACUGGACCUUGUCUGACGCUGAGGCACGAAAGCCAGGGGAGCAAACGGG